This 454-nucleotide ribosomal RNA is filed under the name uncultured bacterium. RNAcentral's name for it is "partial 16S ribosomal RNA". It matches the Rfam family "Bacterial small subunit ribosomal RNA", at positions 356 to 792 of the family's 1533-position model. The record is from RNAcentral.
UGGGAAUUUUGGACAAUGGGCGCAGCCUGAUCCAGCCAUGCCGCGUGCGGGAAGAAGGCCUUCGGGUUGUAAACCGCUUUUGUCAGGGAAGAAAAUCUUCUGAGUUAAUACCUCGGGAGGAUGACGGUACCUGAAGAAUAAGCACCGGCUAACUACGUGCCAGCAGCCGCGGUAAUACGUAGGGUGCAAGCGUUAAUCGGAAUUACUGGGCGUAAAGCGUGCGCAGGCGGUUUUGUAAGACAGAGGUGAAAUCCCCGGGCUCAACCUGGGAACUGCCUUUGUGACUGCAAGGCUUGAGUGCGGCAGAGGGGGGAUGGAAUUCCGCGUGUAGCGUGAAAUNCGCGUAGAUAUGCGGAGGAACACCGAUGGCGAAGGCAAAUCCCCCUGGGGCCUGCACUGACGCUCAUGGACNACGAAAGCGUGGGGAGCAAAACAGGAUUAGAUACCCCUGGUA